UUAAAGGAAUUGACGGGGCCCGCACAAGCGGUGGAGCAUGUGGUUUAAUUCGAUGCAACGCGAAGAACCUUACCUGGGCUUGACACUCCCGGGAAUCCCUGGAAACAGGGAGUGCCCUUCGGGAACCCGGUGACAGGUGGUGCAUGGUUGUCGUCAGCUCGUGUCGUGAGAUGUUGGGUUAAGUCCCGCAACGAGCGCAACCCUUGUCAUUAGUUGCUACGUUCAGUUGGGCACUCUAAUGAGACUGCCGGUGACAAGCCGGAGGAAGGUGGGGAUGACGUCAAGUCCUCAUGGCCCUUAUAGGUGGGGCUACACACGUCAUACAAUGGCUGGUACAAAGGGUUGCCAACCCGCGAGGGGGAGCCAACCCCAUAAAGCCAGUCGUAGUCCGGAUCGUAGUCUGCAACUCGACUACGUGAAGUCGGAAUCGCUAGUAAUCGUGGAUCAGAAUGUCACGGUGAAUACGUUCCCGGGUCUU
Molecule: ribosomal RNA, 478 nt
Filed under: uncultured Thiothrix sp.
Lineage: Bacteria; Pseudomonadati; Pseudomonadota; Gammaproteobacteria; Thiotrichales; Thiotrichaceae
Description: bacterial SSU rRNA
Rfam family: Bacterial small subunit ribosomal RNA
Source: RNAcentral